CAGGCUUAACACAUGCAAGUCGAGGGGCAGCACAGGUAGCAAUACCGGGUGGCGACCGGCGCACGGGUGAGUAACGCGUAUGCAACUUACCUAUCAGAGGGGGAUAACCCGGCGAAAGUCGGACUAAUACCGCAUGAAGCAGGGGCCCCGCAUGGGGAUAUUUGCUAAAGAUUCAUCGCUGAUAGAUAGGCAUGCGUUCCAUUAGGCAGUUGGCGGGGUAACGGCCCACCAAACCGACGAUGGAUAGGGGUUCUGAGAGGAAGGUCCCCCACAUUGGUACUGAGACACGGACCAAACUCCUACGGGAGGCAGCAGUGAGGAAUAUUGGUCAAUGGCCGAGAGGCUGAACCAGCCAAGUCGCGUGAGGGAUGAAGGUUCUAUGGAUCGUAAACCUCUUUUAUAAGGGAAUAAAGUGCGGGACGUGUCCCGUUUUGUAUGUACCUUAUGAAUAAGGAUCGGCUAACUCCGUGCCAGCAGCCGCGGUAAUACGGAGGAUCCGAGCGUUAUCCGGAUUUAUUGGGUUUAAAGGGUGCGUAGGCGGCCUUUUAAGUCAGCGGUGAAAGUCUGUGGCUCAACCAUAGAAUUGCCGUUGAAACUGGGGGGCUUGAGUAUGUUUGAGGCAGGCGGAAUACGUGGUGUAGCGGUGAAAUGCAUAGAUAUCACGCAGAACCCCGAUUGCGAAGGCAGCCUGCCAAGCCAUGACUGACGCUGAUGCACGAAAGCGUGGGGAUCAAACAGGAUUAGAUACCCUGGUAGUCCACGCAGUAAACGAUGAUCACUAGCUGUUUGCGAUACACAGUAAGCGGCACAGCGAAAGCGUUAAGUGAUCCACCUGGGGAGUACGCCGGCAACGGUGAAACUCAAAGGAAUUGACGGGGGCCCGCACAAGCGGAGGAACAUGUGGUUUAAUUCGAUGAUACGCGAGGAACCUUACCCGGGUUUGAACGCAUUCGGACCGAGGUGGAAACACCUUUUCUAGCAAUAGCCGUUUGCGAGGUGCUGCAUGGUUGUCGUCAGCUCGUGCCGUGAGGUGUCGGCUUAAGUGCCAUAACGAGCGCAACCCUUGCCACUAGUUACUAACAGGUAAAGCUGAGGACUCUGGUGGGACUGCCAGCGUAAGCUGCGAGGAAGGCGGGGAUGACGUCAAAUCAGCACGGCCCUUACAUCCGGGGCGACACACGUGUUACAAUGGCGUGGACAAAGGGAGGCCACCUGGCGACAGGGAGCGAAUCCCCAAACCACGUCUCAGUUCGGAUCGGAGUCUGCAACCCGACUCCGUGAAGCUGGAUUCGCUAGUAAUCGCGCAUCAGCCAUGGCGCGGUGAAUACGUUCCCGGGCCUUGUACACACCGCCCGUCAAGCCAUGGGAGCCGGGGGUACCUGAAGUCCGUAACCGCGAGGAUCGGCCUAGGGUAAAACUGGUGACUGGGGCUAAGUCAUAACA
Molecule: ribosomal RNA, 1443 nt
Filed under: uncultured organism
Description: 16S ribosomal RNA
Rfam family: Bacterial small subunit ribosomal RNA
Source: RNAcentral